Molecule: ribosomal RNA, 253 nt
Filed under: uncultured bacterium
Lineage: Bacteria
Description: partial 16S ribosomal RNA
Rfam family: Bacterial small subunit ribosomal RNA
Source: RNAcentral
UACGUAGGGUGCGAGCGUUAAUCGGAAUUACUGGGCGUAAAGCGUGCGCAGGCGGUUCGUUAAGUUCGUUGUGAAAGCCCCGGGCUCAACCUGGGAACUGCAAUGGAAACUGGCGGGCUUGAGUGUGGCAGAGGGGGGUGGAAUUCCGCGUGUAGCAGUGAAAUGCGCAGAUAUCAGGAGGAACACCGAUGGCGAAGGCAGGUCUCUGGGCAUUAACUGACGCUGAGGAGCGAAAGCAUGGGGAGCGAACAGG